RNAcentral lists this transfer RNA (89 nucleotides) under uncultured Thermomicrobiales bacterium. Its description in RNAcentral is "tRNA-Ser-TGA". It matches the Rfam family "tRNA". From Rfam's summary of the family: Transfer RNA (tRNA) molecules are approximately 80 nucleotides in length. Their secondary structure includes four short double-helical elements and three loops (D, anti-codon, and T loops). The record is from RNAcentral. Lineage: Bacteria; Pseudomonadati; Thermomicrobiota; Thermomicrobia; Thermomicrobiales.
GGAGAGGUGGCCGAGCGGCUUAAGGCAGCUGUCUUGAAAACAGCCGAGGCGACGAGUCUCCGUGGGUUCAAAUCCCACCCUCUCCGCCG